AAAGGAGAAAAGUUAGCGUUAUUCGGAUUUGUAUCAUCAAUAAGAAUUGCGAAAGCAUGGCCUAUCGAUCCUUUAAGCCCAGAAAGAUUCUGGCUAGAGGUGAUGGAAAAGUUACCACAGGGAUCCUUCGCCGAAGGGAGUGCCAGCU
This 148-nucleotide non-coding RNA is filed under the name Gregarina niphandrodes. RNAcentral describes it as "Eukaryotic large subunit ribosomal RNA". The stretch from base 1 to 121 matches the Rfam family "Eukaryotic large subunit ribosomal RNA", at positions 2704 to 2824 of the family's 3401-position model. Lineage: Eukaryota; Apicomplexa; Conoidasida; Eugregarinorida; Gregarinidae. The record is from Rfam by way of RNAcentral.